Molecule: ribosomal RNA, 434 nt
Filed under: uncultured bacterium
Lineage: Bacteria
Description: partial 16S ribosomal RNA
Rfam family: Bacterial small subunit ribosomal RNA
Source: RNAcentral
AGCGAACGCUGGCGGCAGGCCUAACACAUGCAAGUCGAACGAACCUUUCGGGGUUAGUGGCGGACGGGUGAGUAACACGUGGGAACGUGCCUUUAGGUUCGGAAUAACUCAGGGAAACUUAUGCUAAUACCGAAUGUGCCCUUCGGGGGAAAGAUUAAUCGCCUUUAGAGCGGCCCGCGUCUGAUUAGCUAGUUGGUUGAGGUAAUGGCUCACCAAGGCGACGAUCAGUAGCUGGUCUGAGAGGAUGAUCAGCCACAUUGGGACUGAGACACGGCCCAAACUCCUACGGGAAGCAGCAGUGGGGAAUCUUGCGCAAUGGGCGAAAGCCUGACGCAGCCAUGCCGCGUGAAUGAUGAAGGUCUUAGGAUUGUAAAAUUCUUUCACCGGGGACGAUAAUGACGGUACCCGGAGAAGAAGCCCCGGCUAACUUCGUG